Molecule: ribosomal RNA, 253 nt
Filed under: uncultured bacterium
Lineage: Bacteria
Description: partial 16S ribosomal RNA
Rfam family: Bacterial small subunit ribosomal RNA
Source: RNAcentral
UACGUAGGGUGCGAGCGUUAAUCGGAAUUACUGGGCGUAAAGCGUGCGCAGGCGGCUAUUUAAGCUUGCUGUGAAAGCCCCGGGCUUAACCUGGGAAUGGCAGUGAGGACUGGAUGGCUGGAGUGUGGCAGAGGGGGGUGGAAUUCCACGUGUAGCAGUGAAAUGCGUAGAGAUGUGGAGGAACACCGAUGGCGAAGGCAGCCCCCUGGGCUAGCACUGACGCUCAGGCACGAAAGCGUGGGGAGCAAACAGG